Acanthosepion pharaonis is the source of this 98-nucleotide non-coding RNA. The record is from the annotation of a GenBank genome assembly. NCBI's taxonomy places the organism in Eukaryota, Metazoa, Mollusca, Cephalopoda, Sepiida, Sepiidae.
ACGUUGAAACACCAGUUCCUGUACGAUCAGCGAAGUUAAGCAACGUCGAGCCUGGUCAGUACCUAGAUGGGUGACCGCGUUGGAAUACCAGUUAGUGU